Molecule: transfer RNA, 84 nt
Filed under: Streptomyces hiroshimensis
Lineage: Bacteria; Bacillati; Actinomycetota; Actinomycetes; Kitasatosporales; Streptomycetaceae
Description: tRNA-Val
Source: RNAcentral
GCCUAGUGGCCCGCGGAGGCCCGCCGUUCACCCAGGUGGCCGCAUGGACGGCGGAGAAACCCCAGUUCAGGCCGGGGUCAGGCG